RNAcentral lists this ribosomal RNA (1433 nucleotides) under Lutjanus johnii (John's snapper). RNAcentral describes it as "eukaryotic LSU rRNA". The stretch from base 773 to 926 matches the Rfam family "5.8S ribosomal RNA". Lineage: Eukaryota; Metazoa; Chordata; Actinopteri; Lutjaniformes; Lutjanidae. The record is from RNAcentral.
AAAAAGCUUCCGUGGGUGAACCUGCGGAAGGAUCAUUGCCGGUUGCCCCAUGGAACCUGCCUCUUUAACCAGGGCAAGUCUACCCACCCUGCAACUACCUCUGCCAGGUCACAUAUCCAGCUGGGGAUGACACACCCAGAUCAUGGAAGGUGCAGGUGCGCAGGUGUACAUCGAGUUUUCGCCCCCUGCCAAGGCUUCUAAUAGCUUGGUCUCCCAAGGCGUGCAGCGUCUGCUGUCGUCCGUCAGUGUGUCGAGGGGCCCCGGAUGAGGCCCCGAGCCUGGCGGCCCUUGCGUCAUGCCGGCGUCCGCCUUGUCCAACGCAUAUCGUCUGGCUCCGGAACCCGUCAUUGAGCGGAACACCACCGCGCCUCCCCGGCAUCGCAAACACCCCUCCAACCAGGCGCCUGUGCCCCCGCUUGGCCCGCUCCGAGGGCUGACGGCCUCGCCGAGUUGGGCGCUCACGUCUGGAGCAGUGUGACUGGUGGGAGCCAGCUCCCAUGACCGCUCACCCCACCCGGGCCCGAAACCUCAGAACCUCUACCUCAAGCGCGGUGUGGCGGCUCUCCGACACCCUUCGGCACGCCUCGGGUACCCAACUCGCCUCUCCCCUCCGGGGUUAGGAGGGGGGUCCAAUGUCUCCUGCACCGGUCUGUCCCACACGCCCUGACAGGGGCUUAGCGGAGUGGAGCAUUAUCAGGCCAACCAUGUCAAACCCCGUCAUCUCCGACCUGUGGCCAACACCUUCAAAAGAGGUAAACCCAAACAACUUGACAACUCCUAGCGGUGGAUCACUCGGCUCAUGCAUCGAUGAAGAACGCAGCAAGCUGCGAGAAGUAAUGUGAAUUGCAGGACACAUUGAUCAUCGACACUUCGAACGCACCUUGCGGCCCCGGGUUCCUCCCGGGGCUACGCCUGUCUGAGGGUCGCUUUGACAUCAAUCGGAAAGGCUGAUCUUCCCCGCGCCUUCACGCGGAUGAGGCCGUCGCGCAUCCGUUGCCUACGUCCCCAAGCGCAGCCCGCCGCGGUGCGGCGCGUCGCCUCCGUUGCGGUUUAGGCGCGGCCUCUUUGGCCACCCGCCCCACCGUUGUGCCCGUUAGGCUUCGGUGCUCCCGAUCGGCGCUCCCUCCUCCUGCCGGCCACCCAAGGACGACCGGGGUAAGGGGUGACCUGCCGGGCACCGCGUGAAUCGGGAGAGGCUCCCGCAGGACAGACGCUGUUUCUCCGCGGUGCCUGCGUUCCGAGUGGGGCCGGGUUCAGACGGGAACCCGGCGGGUGGGAGUCUGAGGUUCUGAGGUCGGCCUCGGUAUUUGAGCGGGCGCGGCACAGUGCUAACUCAGCGGAGGGAGGAGGACUACGCCGCCCUCCGAGGCGUGACGUCCCCCUCAGGCUAUGCCGGAACGCGUGAGACCCCCUUUCCAUUCAUGGGACGGGGG